Molecule: ribosomal RNA, 411 nt
Filed under: Triticum aestivum (bread wheat)
Lineage: Eukaryota; Viridiplantae; Streptophyta; Magnoliopsida; Poales; Poaceae
Description: partial small subunit ribosomal RNA
Source: RNAcentral
AUGGGGCGGCCACAUCUCGGCCAGACGGCCACCAUGCGGCGUGGUGCGGCAUGGCACCUGGCGCCUGGCGAGGCUGAUGUUCCCCUCCUCCCGUCAAUGCAGACCAUGGGACGUUCCCUUCUCAUCACAGAAGCAAACGAACAAGUCAUCAGCAACAAGCACCAUAACAAAGAACAGAGUAUACAUGCAACAAUAUACAUUCAAACUAACUUUAAUCCAGGACACAAAACACUAUAUAAAGAGAGGCCAGACAUCAUCAUGCUCAUACAGGACAUGGAACCAACGGAAAGUAAAAUUGCUAAAACAGACGGUAUCACACAAACAUUUCAUCGAGCAGCAGGCGUACAUUCACAUUUCCUCAAAUACCUCACAGACACACACCUACGGGAGAAGCAGAACUUACGUGGAUAG